This is a transfer RNA of 74 nucleotides. It matches the Rfam family "tRNA". Rfam says of the family: Transfer RNA (tRNA) molecules are approximately 80 nucleotides in length. The record is from Rfam.
CGCGGGGUGGAGCAGUUCGGUAGCUCGUCGGGCUCAUAACCCGAAGGUCGCAGGUUCAAAUCCUGUCCCCGCAA